Molecule: ribosomal RNA, 468 nt
Filed under: uncultured bacterium
Lineage: Bacteria
Description: partial 16S ribosomal RNA
Rfam family: Bacterial small subunit ribosomal RNA
Source: RNAcentral
GACGAACGCUGGCGGCGGGCUUAACACAUGCAAGUCGAACGGAAAGGCCCUGCUUGUGUGGGGUGCUCGAGUGGCGAACGGGUGAGUAACACGUGAGUAACCUGCCCUGGACUUGGGGAUAACUUCAGGAAACUGGUGCUAAUACCGGAUAGGAGCUCCUGCUGCAGGGUGGGGGUCGGAAAGUUUCGGCGGUUGGGGAUGGACGCGCGGCUUAUCAGCUUGUUGGUGGGGUAGUGGCUUACCAAGGCUUUGAAGGGUAGCCGGCCUGAGAGGGUGACCGGCCACAUUGGGACUGAGAUACGGACCAGACUCCUACAGGAGGCAGCAGUGGGGAAUAUUGCACAAUGGGCGGAAGCCUGAUGCAGCAACGCCGCGUGCGGGAUGACGGCCUUCGGGUUGUAAACCGCUUUCGCCUGUGACGAAGCGUGAGUGACGGUAAUGGGUAAAGAAGCACCGGCUAACUACGUG